Molecule: long non-coding RNA, 1243 nt
Filed under: Nicotiana tabacum (common tobacco)
Lineage: Eukaryota; Viridiplantae; Streptophyta; Magnoliopsida; Solanales; Solanaceae
Description: long non-coding RNA (NTAB_LNC015321)
Source: RNAcentral
AGUUGCUCAACCACGCAUAACUCAGGAAACAUACGCACAUGAAACUCACAAAACCAAACUGCCGCCCAACUUCUAUUUCUCCGAUUGAUAGUGUUCUUAAAUUCAAAUCUUCCACUGCUAUAAAAAAUUCAAGAAACCAUAUGAUUUCUACAAAAAUUGAAUCAAGGCUACAAAAAUUGAAAACAAUGCAAUAUUUGGAAGAACCAGACCAUUACAAUUUAGACGCUACUUUCUCGAUUGAAUAGGUUCUAUAAGAUGAAAAGGUAUUAAAAAUCUGUUAUUGUCUUAUAAUUUGUUUUGGUAAUUCUGUCUUUUAAUUUGCAUGAGUGUAUUCAUGGGAUAAUCAGUACCAAAACUCGAUUGAAGAAUUUGUGCACCAAACAUAUGUAUCCUCAAAUAUGUUUCUCAGUGAUAUACUACAGCAUAUAUCAAGUUUGCUUCUACGUUUUUUUAUUUUCAAAUCUGAAUUUUUUAAUUUGCUCUCCGUGUAUUUUUUAAAUUUCUAUUUGCAUAUUCAUGGGAUAAUCAAUAGCAAAAACAUGUAGUUAAGUUACAGAUAUUCUUAAAUCUAUUAUUUUUAGUCUUUUUCGAACACAAUAAUUUUUUUAUAUUUGUUAGGAUCCUAACUUUAAUACUAUUCUAGGCGUAGAUGAAGAGAAGGAAUGCGAGGUAAGUACAUGCUCAAUUUUAAUUUGUCCUUUAAGAUGACACUUAUUUUACUUAUAUAUGUGGAUAGAUAUAUUUGACAAUAAAAUUUUAGAUAUGGUCAAACCCGGGUUCUUCGAAGGAUACACUAAAGAACUUGAUUAUUAGAAUUCAAGGGUUUAUAUUCAGUAGUAAGUAGACAUAUAUGAUGUAUUAAAACUUAAUAAACUGCAUUAAUAUUUGUAUCGCAAGAUUAUGUUUUGUGAUAAACUGGUGCUAUCUUUGUAAGAAGGAUGAGUAAGUCAAUUAUUAUUUGUUUCUUUAUUCUAAGAGGGCGCAAUCAGAUUUGAAACAUGUUUCUUUUGUAUAACAUGCAUUGGGUAGUGGCUAAUUGUGGUAAGGCUUAUUAGGGCAUGGUUUGGUACUAACAUUUAUAACUGGAUAAUAAAAACUUGGAGCACUCCUGUUCUUAUCCCUGGUUGGAGCCUCCGGAAUAAAUUAAGAUAGAUCUCCAAUGAGUUGCUUUGAAAAAACUAUCUGAAGUUGUUUUUGGCUGGAUUGCUUAAUAUUGUGUUGCUGAAUCAUACAAGUCAUUGUA